This 548-nucleotide ribosomal RNA is filed under the name uncultured archaeon. RNAcentral's name for it is "bacterial SSU rRNA". It matches the Rfam family "Archaeal small subunit ribosomal RNA", at positions 262 to 814 of the family's 1478-position model. The record is from RNAcentral.
GAUCGGUACGGGUUGUGAGAGCAAGAGCCCGGAGAUGGAUUCUGAGACACGAAUCCAGGCCCUACGGGGCGCAGCAGGCGCGAAAACUUUACAAUGCGAGAAAUCGUGAUAAGGGAACCCCGAGUGCCCGUAAAUUCGGGCUGUCCGCCAGUGUAAAUAACUGGUGAAGAAAGGGCCGGGCAAGACCGGUGCCAGCCGCCGCGGUAAUACCGGCGGCUCGAGUGGUGGCCACUAUUACUGGGCUUAAAGCGUCCGUAGCUGGAUUGUUAAGUCUCUUGGGAAAUCCACCGGCUCAACCGAUGGGCGUUCAGGAGAAACUGGCAAUCUAGGGACCGGGAGAGGUGAGAGGUACUCCAGGGGUAGGAGUGAAAUCCUGUAAUCCUUGGGGGACCACCUGUGGCGAAGGCGUCUCACUAGAACGGCUCCGACAGUGAGGGACGAAAGCUGGGGGAGCAAACCGGAUUAGAUACCCGGGUAGUCCCAGCUGUAAACGAUGCGCGUUAGGUGUAUCGGUGACCACGAGUCAUCGAGGUGCCGAAGGGAAACCG